UAGCUAGUUGGUGAGGUAAAGGCUUACCAAGGCGACGAUCUGUAGCGGGUCUGAGAGGAUGAUCCGCCACACUGGAACUGAGACACGGUCCAGACUCCUACGGGAGGCAGCAGUGGGGAAUUUUGGACAAUGGGGGCAACCCUGAUCCAGCCAUGCCGCGUGAGUGAAGAAGGCCUUCGGGUUGUAAAGCUCUUUCGGCCGGGAAGAAAUCGCAUGGGCCAAUACCCUGUGUGGAUGACGGUACCGGAAUAAGAAGCACCGGCUAACUACGUGCCAGCAGCCGCGGUAAUACGUAGGGUGCGAGCGUUAAUCGGAAUUACUGGGCGUAAAGCGUGCGCAGGCGGUUUUGUAAGACAGGCGUGAAAUCCCCGGGCUUAACCUGGGAACUGCGUUUGUGACUGCAAGGCUAGAGUACGGCAGAGGGGGGUGGAAUUCCACGUGUAGCAGUGAAAUGCGUAGAGAUGUGGAGGAACACCAAUGGCGAAGGCAGCCCCCUGGGUCGAUACUGACGCUCAUGCACGAAAGCGUGGGUAGCAAACAGGAUUAGAUACCCUGGUAGUCCACGCCCUAAACUAUGUCAACUAGGUGUUGGGUGGGUAAAACCAUUUAGUACCGUAGCUAACGCGUGAAGUUGACCGCCUGGGGAGUACGGCCGCAAGGUUAAAACUCAAAGGAAUUGACGGGGACCCGCACAAGCGGUGGAUGAUGUGGGUUAAUUCGAUGCAACGCGAAAAACCUUACCUACCCUUGACAUGCCAGGAACUUGCCAGAGAUGGCUUGGUGCCCGAAAGGGAGCCUGGACACAGGUGCUGCAUGGCUGUCGUCAGCUCGUGUCGUGAGAUGUUGGGUUAAGUCCCGCAACGAGCGCAACCCUUGUCGUUAAUUGCCAUCAUUUAGUUGGGCACUUUAACGAGACUGCCGGUGACAAACCGGAGGAUGGUGGGGAUGACGUCAAGUCCUCAUGGCCCUUAUGGGUAGGGCUUCACACGUCAUACAAUGGUCGGUACAAAGGGUUGCCAAGCCGCGAGGCGGAGCCAAUCCCAGAAAGCCGAUCGUAGUCCGGAUUGCAGGCUGCAACUCGCCUGCAUGAAGUCGGAAUCGCUAGUAAUCGUGGAUCAGCAUGUCACGGUGAAUACGUUCCCGGGUCUUGUACACACCGCCCGUCACACCAUGGGAGCGGGUUCCGCCAGAAGUAGGUAGCCUAACCGCAAGGGGGGCGCUUACCACGGCGGGGUUCGUGACUGGGGUGAAGUCGGAACAAGGUAGCCGUAGGGGAACCUGCGGCUG
RNAcentral lists this ribosomal RNA (1287 nucleotides) under metagenome. RNAcentral's name for it is "bacterial SSU rRNA". It matches the Rfam family "Bacterial small subunit ribosomal RNA", at positions 242 to 1520 of the family's 1533-position model. The record is from RNAcentral.